GGCAAGAUGGCCGAAUGGUUAUGGCGUUGAGGUUAAGGUCAUCUCAGCAUCAAUUCCUCAUGGAGCAAUCCGCGUGGGUUCAAAUCCCACUCUUGUCA
Hypoxylon fuscum is the source of this 98-nucleotide non-coding RNA. The record is from the annotation of a GenBank genome assembly. NCBI's taxonomy places the organism in Eukaryota, Fungi, Ascomycota, Sordariomycetes, Xylariales, Hypoxylaceae.